Non-coding RNA from Biomphalaria pfeifferi, 960 nucleotides. Lineage: Eukaryota; Metazoa; Mollusca; Gastropoda; Planorbidae. The record is from the annotation of a GenBank genome assembly.
UAUUAUUACACUUUCUUUUAAUCAUGUCCUGAAAAACAAAAAUACUGAACACAUGAAAAAGUAAUUUUAAAAUAGAUUUACACGAUUUUACACGAAUACAACUUAACUCAUUUAAGCUUGGCAAAAACGCACACACACACUGUAACACAACCAAAAAACAUCGUAAGCAACAUUUAUAAAGACAGAAUGCAUUACGUCAACUUGUCAAAUCAAACAUAGCAUGUGACCCAAAACAAUUCAUGACUAUUUAGAACUAAAAGAACCAAGCUAUGUAUUACCCAGCAGAGGCCCAGCCAACACGAGAGUAUUUACAGGAGAUAUGUCAAUAAUAUACACUGCUUGUGCUCAUUCUCAGCAUUUCUAUAUAAGAAUUAAUUUGAUCCAUGGAACAAAUGUGUUAGAACUUCAACUUAAGCCACUCAGUAUUUCACACAAAGUGGACAUAUUAUAGUCAUAGCAGGCUCCAUUAUCUUGUACAUUGAGGUCAGAGGAAAGUCUGACAACAUUCCUUUACCGAAUUCUAUGCGACAGUACAAAGUAAACAUAAAUUGCAGUUUCUAAAAUGCUUAACGGAUAAAAAGGUAAAAGCUAUUACAAGUAAUUGGGGUAAAAUAAAAAGGAUAUGGACUCAUGUAUAUUUGUACAAUAUGUCAACAACUUCCCCAACCUAAAGCUUAAAAUAAAUAUCUGCCUGCUCAAUAAAAAAAAAAUCAUGUAAUUUGAAACAAAACAAAUAAAACUGUAAAAGACUAAAAACAAUAUAAAGAUCUUAUAAAUCUAUUUUUUUAAUUCUAAAAUGUACAAGGAAAAAAUGUAAUUAAUUUCAAGACAGUGUAUUCUUCAUAAAAUACUAAUAUUUGAAGCUCAAUUUAUAGAAUAAAUUUUUCUGUAAAUUUGAUCCUCUUAUUGGUUUGUUGGAACUUCUAUUAACAUUGCACUUCUCUCUAUUCCCACCCCCCC